CCUACGGGCGCAGCAGUGGGGAAUAUUGGACAAUGGGCGAAAGCCUGAUCCAGCCAUGCCGCGUGUGUGAAGAAGGCCUUCGGGUUGUAAAGCACUUUCAGUGGGGAAGAAAGCCUUGGGGCUAAUACCCUCGAGGAAGGACAUCACCCACAGAAGAAGCACCGGCUAACUCCGUGCCAGCAGCCGCGGUAAUACGGAGGGUGCGAGCGUUAAUCGGAAUUACUGGGCGUAAAGCGCGCGUAGGCGGUCUGAUAAGCCGGUUGUGAAAGCCCCGGGCUCAACCUGGGAACGGCAUCCGGAACUGUCAGGCUAGAGUGCAGGAGAGGAAGGUAGAAUUCCCGGUGUAGCGGUGAAAUGCGUAGAGAUCGGGAGGAAUACCAGUGGCGAAGGCGGCCUUCUGGACUGACACUGACGCUGAGGUGCGAAAGCGUGGGUAGCAAACAGGAUUAGAUACCCCAGUAGUC
Molecule: ribosomal RNA, 464 nt
Filed under: Vreelandella stevensii
Lineage: Bacteria; Pseudomonadati; Pseudomonadota; Gammaproteobacteria; Oceanospirillales; Halomonadaceae
Description: partial 16S ribosomal RNA
Rfam family: Bacterial small subunit ribosomal RNA
Source: RNAcentral